RNAcentral lists this ribosomal RNA (1343 nucleotides) under uncultured bacterium. Its description in RNAcentral is "16S ribosomal RNA". It matches the Rfam family "Bacterial small subunit ribosomal RNA", at positions 28 to 1378 of the family's 1533-position model. The record is from RNAcentral.
GACGAACGCUGGCGGCGUGCUUAACACAUGCAAGUCGAACGGAAAGGCCCUGCUUUUGUGGGGUGCUCGAGUGGCGAACGGGUGAGUAACACGUGAGUAUCCUGCCCUUGACUUUGGGAUAACUUCAGGAAACUGGGGCUAAUACCGGAUAGGAGCUCCUGCUGCAUGGUGGGGGUUGGAAAGUUUCGGCGGCUGGGGAUGGACUCGCGGCUUAUCAGCUUGUUGGUGGGGUAGUGGCUUACCAAGGCUUUGACGGGUAGCCGGCCUGAGAGGGUGACCGGCCACAUUGGGACUGAGAUACGGCCCAGACUCCUACGGGAGGCAGCAGUGGGGAAUAUUGCACAAUGGGCGGAAGCCUGAUGCAGCAACGCCGCGUGCGGGAUGACGGCCUUCGGGUUGUAAACCGCUUUCGCCUGUGACGAAGCGUGAGUGACGGUAAUGGGUAAAGAAGCACCGGCUAACUACGUGCCAGCAGCCGCGGUGAUACGUAGGGUGCGAGCGUUGUCCGGAUUUAUUGGGCGUAAAGGGCUCGUAGGUGGUUGAUCGCGUCGGAAGUGUAAUCUUGGGGCAUAACCCUGAGCGUGCUUUCGAUACGGGUUGACUUGAGGAAGGUAGGGGAGAAUGGAAUUCCUGGUGGAGCGGUGGAAUGCGCAGAUAUCAGGAGGAACACCAGUGGCGAAGGCGGUUCUCUGGGCCUUUCCUGACGCUGAGGAGCGAAAGCGUGGGGAGCGAACAGGCUUAGAUACCCUGGUAGUCCACGCUGUAAACGGUGGGUACUAGGUGUGGGGUCCAUUCCACGGGUUCCGUGCCGUAGCUAACGCUUUAAGUACCCCGCCUGGGGAGUACGGCCGCAAGGCUAAAACUCAAAGGAAUUGACGGGGCCCCGCACAAGCGGCGGAGCAUGCGGAUUAAUUCGAUGCAACGCGUAGAACCUUACCUGGGUUUGACAUGGAUCGGGAGUGCUCAGAGAUGGGUGUGCCUCUUUUGGGGUCGGUUCACAGGUGGUGCAUGGCUGUCGUCAGCUCGUGUCGUGAGAUGUUGGGUUAAGUCCCGCAACGAGCGCAACCCUUGUUCACUGUUGCCAGCACGUUAUGGUGGGGACUCAGUGGAGACCGCCGGGGUCAACUCGGAGGAAGGUGGGGAUGACGUCAAGUCAUCAUGCCCCUUAUGUCCAGGGCUUCACGCAUGCUACAAUGGCUGGUACAGAGAGUGGCGAGCCUGUGAGGGUGAGCGAAUCUCGGAAAGCCGGUCUCAGUUCGGAUUGGGGUCUGCAACUCGACCUCAUGAAGUCGGAGUCGCUAGUAAUCGCAGAUCAGCAACGCUGCGGUGAAUACGUUCCCGGG